This 1559-nucleotide long non-coding RNA is filed under the name Centruroides sculpturatus (bark scorpion). Its description in RNAcentral is "uncharacterized LOC111634607". The record is from RNAcentral. Lineage: Eukaryota; Metazoa; Arthropoda; Arachnida; Scorpiones; Buthidae.
UUUAUAUUAUUACUGUAUUGUCAGUGAUUUUAUCGAUUAUUAACUUUUAAAAUUUAGUUUUUCAAAAACCCUUGUAAAUUCUCUCCAUAUCUUUUAAACAUUUCAUUUUGAAGCGAAUCUUGCAGGAUGAGAGAAGUUGUAGCAAAGUUAGUUCAAACGCAGUAGAUAACUUCAUCAAGCAUUUCUCUCCAGUUAUUACAGCUGUUAUUCAAGCGGAAUAAGGCGAAGGAUAAAAAAUGAAAAAAUAAAAAGGACGAACAAAAUUACAUAUAUAAACGAGUAAUUUUCUGGACUGGUUAAAUAGAAUAUUUUUGUUAAAAUUGAUAGACCGUGCAAAGAUUAAUCCCCAAGAUAAAAACUGAAAUAAUUGAACGUUACUCAAUUUUUCAAAGAGAAACAUAACAUUUAACAAGAUAAGUACAAAAUAAGAGAUUGUUUUUAGAUGCAGAAACAUUUCAGGAUUUCUUGUAAACCGAAAAAUCGAUAGAACGGAUAAUUCAAGGUAAUAAAGCAUUCUGGAGCCUUCGGAGAAUACAUGACUGGAAACGACUUACCAAUAAACGUAAAAGAAAAGUUUUCUGAUCAUGUAUACGACCUCAAGGCUAUUCACCCUUCAGAGCAGGCAGAAACGUGGUCAUUGACAAAAAUGAGAUUAGAAACAUGCUACAGAUAUUAUAAAAUGUAUAAGAAAACACGUGAACUGAAUGUUGGAUUAAGGAUCGGACCAAACUUAUUACUGAAUGGAGCGCGAGAGGCGGAAAUAGAAGAGAUUGUCCAUCAAGAAGAUGGAGAGAUAAAAGCUUUUGGUGGCUCAACACUUGGUAGCAGACAUCAAAGAAUCUGACCGAAUAGAGAAAUCUGUAGGUGACUAAUGCUCAGUAGUGACUAAUUAGUUGGAGAUUGACGAUAUGUUAUUCAUAUUCCUAGUGUAUAAAUUAGGGUUUUGAUCAUAGUAAGAUAUAGCAGAAUGUUUUUGAAUUACUUUAAAAAGUCUGUUUGAUUAAUUUUUAGAUUUUUUUUCCUUUCAAUUUAGCUGAAUUAAAUUUUCUUCUAUCUUUUAGAUUGAUUCAAAAAUAGAAAGCUCUUUAUGUUUUAAUCACUAUAGGCUAUGUAGCCUAUCAUUUCCGUUCGAAAUUGUCAGUACUGAAAUAGACAGCUGCCUUUCAGAAAAAACUGCAAAACAGGUGGCAUUAAUUCAAUUGUUGUACUCCUUCAGUUAACUUUUCUUCAUCUAUAAUAAUAUUCUGAAUAUAGUUAAAAUGUAUUUUGCUUCCGAAUUUAUCUUAUACAGCAAUAUAAAAUAUAGCCUAUAUGUAAUCUAUUUCUAGGUUUGAGAUAAAUUCUCGAGCAAAAUAUUUUAAGUUAUUUACUCACAAAUUAGAUACAAAAUUGAGUUUACCAAGUUUCUGUUGGAAUUUUGUCACGAGUAUUUUCUCUCGAUUUAGUCGCAAUUAAAUUUUCUGGCAUCUUCGAGAUAUUCGAUCUUGGAAGUUAUUUUUUAUGACUUUUUAAUCCGUGUAUAUUUAUCAUUCCCGAAUAUAACUAUCUUUACCACAAUU